CUCAACCGCAAGGAGGGGGAUGCCUAAGGCAGGGCUAGUGACUGGGGUGAAGUCGUAACAAGGUAGCCGUACCGGAAGGUGUGGCUGGAUCACCUCCUUAAAGGGAGACCUAAUUCGGGUAUGGGACGAAAAAAAAGUAGUCGCUACCAAGAAUCAAUCCCAAAAGGUCGGAGCGAGGCGAAAUUGGCUUUCAAACUAGGUUCUGGGUUCACACAAGACCUGAAUCAGGAAUAAGGGCUAUUAGCUCAGGUGGUUAGAGCGCACCCCUGAUAAGGGUGAGGUCCCUGGUUCGAGUCCAGGAUGGCCCACCUGUACAGGUGGCAAAAACAAAGAAGCGAGGAAUCAGCACCUUAUCUUAUUUAUAUAGUAAGAGAGAAUGCUGGCUCUGAGUUCAGAGUCCAGAGGAACCUUGAAAACUGCAUAGAGCUAGGUGAAAAAGCCAAAAAAGAAGACCGCAAGGUCAAGCUAAUAAGGGCUAACGGUG
Molecule: small RNA, 484 nt
Filed under: uncultured Microcystis sp.
Lineage: Bacteria; Bacillati; Cyanobacteriota; Cyanophyceae; Chroococcales; Microcystaceae
Description: bacterial LSU rRNA
Rfam family: Bacterial small subunit ribosomal RNA (bases 1-100)
Source: RNAcentral